UCUCCGUUGGUGAACCAGCGGAGGGAUCAUUGCCGAGUUAAAGACUCCAAACUAUCGCGAACUUACUACGUAGUGCCUCGGUGGGCGGCUCCAGGGCGGAGCCUCUCGCCCCCGCAGGGGGUGCCCGCCAGAGGACCACCAAACAUUGUCGUCUCUAGUGUACUCAGAGUGCCUGCGUAAGCGGGAUUUAAACUAUCAAAACUUUCAACAAUGGAUCUCUUGGCUCUGGCAUCGAUGAAGAACGCAGC
This 248-nucleotide unclassified non-coding RNA is filed under the name uncultured fungus. RNAcentral's name for it is "sequence contains ITS1, 5.8S rRNA gene". The stretch from base 200 to 248 matches the Rfam family "5.8S ribosomal RNA", at positions 1 to 49 of the family's 154-position model. Lineage: Eukaryota; Fungi. The record is from RNAcentral.